This is a long non-coding RNA of Mauremys reevesii (Reeves's turtle), 533 nucleotides long. RefSeq lists it as uncharacterized. The transcript has 4 exons. The record is from RefSeq and is a predicted model, not a curated record. Lineage: Eukaryota; Metazoa; Chordata; Testudines; Geoemydidae.
UUACAAGCUGCACCAGGAAGUGAGGUUACUGCCUGGAGCAGUGGAGGGAGUGACUGCAACCUGGAUUUGAAGUUUGGAAACACCUUAAUCUUGAGGCCACCUGUCAGUUUGAAUCAGCAUGACAUUGGCAAUUGACUUGAGAGUUAAAAUGUGGUGUUUGGAGAGCUCUGACUGAAGGAAGACAUCUUGCCUGUGCCAGCAGAAGGAAGACAUCUUGGUGGAGAAAGCUGAGUGUACCCAGAUCAUUGAUCAAAAAGGAAUCCAGCAGCCUUCUUGACCAGAGGAAACUUGUAGUGAUGGAGAGCUUACUUAGGGAUAAGCCUGGAGAAACUGCGUCUUAAGGAGGAACUGGAAGGUGAAGAGUGCUAUCUUGAUGACCUGGAAUAAGAAGGAAAUUCUAAGUACGCAUUGAAUUUAAGUUACUCAGGGCAACUAGUACUAAUAUUUCCUUUUUAAUCUCACAUUAUAAAUUCUUUUUCUUAAGAAGAAUUAGAUUUCAGAUGCCUUCUCUACUGGUUGGAUAUGCUCACUUA